Molecule: ribosomal RNA, 399 nt
Filed under: uncultured bacterium
Lineage: Bacteria
Description: partial 16S ribosomal RNA
Rfam family: Bacterial small subunit ribosomal RNA
Source: RNAcentral
CCUACGGGAGGCAGCAGUGAGGAAUAUUGGUCAAUGGACGUAAGCCUGAACCAGCCAAGUCGCGUGAGGGAUGAAUGUUCUAUGGAUCGUAAACCUCUUUUAUAUGGGAAUAAAGUGCGGGACGUGUCGGGUUUUGUAUGUACCUUAUGAAUAAGGAUCGGCUAACUCCGUGCCAGCAGCCGCGGUAAUACGGAGGAUCCGAGCGUUAUCCGGAUUUAUUGGGUUUAAAGGGUGCGUAGGUGGGUUUUUAAGUCAGUGGUGAAAGUCUGUGGCUCAACCGUAGAAUUGCCGUUGAUACUGGGAGCCUUGAGUAUGUUUGAGGUAGGCGGAAUGCGUGGUGUAGCGGUGAAAUGCUUAGAUAUCACGAAGAACUCCGAUUGCGAAGGCAGCCUACCAAGC